Orcinus orca (killer whale) is the source of this 24875-nucleotide long non-coding RNA. RefSeq lists it as uncharacterized. The record is from RefSeq and is a predicted model, not a curated record. The transcript is spliced from 8 exons. NCBI's taxonomy places the organism in Eukaryota, Metazoa, Chordata, Mammalia, Artiodactyla, Delphinidae.
ACGGAAGCUGAGGCGCAACGCUCGUACCUGUGAGCACCCGAAUGCUUAGGUUCCCACGCGCGCAGCCGGUCGCUGACCAAUCAGCGGCCGCUACAAGACACGCCUGGGCCGUCAGCCGACCAAUCCAGCGGACCUCUGAGCCGUUGCAGGGGAGCGGGCGUCGCUAGAGCGACUGCCAAGGGGGAGAGUCUUUGGUUUCCUCGGGGCGGCCGCACUUCCGGCCUCCGAGCCCCUGUAGCUUGGCGUUGUUCGCGGGGGCCGGUGGGAUCGGAACCCCGUGCUAGACUGAAAACACGAGCCUCUAAGGCUGAGAGGGGUUUAGUGCGGUUGUGCAGGAGCGCCGGCGCGCGCGACUUUUUCUGUGUUGGAGCGGGUUUAAGGAGGCGGCUCUGGGGGGUGAGGCGUUUAGGUGCGUGGCCUCCCCACUCUCGGGUGAGGUAACACAGACCUUGGAGCCAGAUUUGCUGGGUUUGUACCCCAGCCCCAACAGUUAAGCGCUCUGUGGCUUUGGGCAACUCAGGUAGCAUGGAUCUCAUCAGCACAGAGAGAAAGCUUCACUGAAAACUCAUUGCAGAUGUGCUGUUAUGAACACAGGUACCUUUGACAUUCCAGGGCAGAACGUGGAGCUGGAGUGGGAGAGGCAGAUCAGAAAAAGCAUGUGACGAUCACCUUUCUAUUCAGGAGACACUGCAUACAGCCAGUGGAGGUCGCACCCCUUCAACUCAGAUGGCAACAGUGCAGUCAGAGGCCUGCCCUUCCAAGCCUCAGACCCAUGCAGCAGUACGAAUUGAGGUUAAAACACAGAUGCCACUAACCUGCACACCAAAUGGCAUGAGUCAGUGACACCAGCUCCGAGACCUGUUUUGAGCCCAAGCAACCGUCCAAGCCACACGCCUGCUUCUCCCACUUUCAUGUGCGGACGAUAAUCGUGAUGUCGACAACAACUUGCCAUCUUUCUCUGAAUAUUCAUUCAACAAAUAAUUACUGUGCAUCCACUGAGUGCUGUCCCUCCCCGAGGCACUGAGGUAUGAAGUCUCUGUCCUCCUGGAGCUUGCUGUCCAGUAGGAGACAGAGGGGACAAAUAAACACAUAGAUACGAUAUCAGGUGGUAUACGUUCUGUGAGGAAGCAAAGAAGGGGGGUGAAGGACUAAAGACUGGUGUAGCAGACGAGCCCGGUGCCUUGCCAGCAUCCCCGCGGCAUUCACCUGGGCACGCGGAGGCUGCCUCCCGUGAGCCCCUGAGGCCCUCUGCCUGGGGGCAGUUAUUUUUCUGGCCGUGGGAGAACGCUUGGCCCCCAAGCGGGGUAAGCAAGAAGUAUUAGAGAACAUCUUUCUCACUUUCCUCAUCUCAUAGUUACGAUAUCUCCUUUAAUCCUUUCUUUCACUAUUUCCUCCAGUUGGUUCACUUCUCAUUUCUCUGAUGGCUCUUUUUCUGAGAGUUCUGCCAUUUAAAUAAAAUGCGUCUACCACUGAUUGGGGCAGGGAAGCUGGACCGUCCACAGCCCUGCUUAGGGAGGCAGCCUCCAGGCGAAAAGCAGCAGGCUCCCUGCAGUGGCGCCCCCCUCCCCCGAAUUCUUUUAGAAGAGGGGAGACAGAUCAUCUUCUCCUGCUCCAUCGCCAUCAUCAUUGUCAAGGACACCUUCUCCUGAGAACCCAUUAUCUGCUGAACUUCGGGCCAUUUGUUUGACCGUCAUCAUCUCUGACCCUCACACCAACUCUGAAAACCAGACAGUAACUACAGCCCAGCCCAGGGAGGCAACCUUCCCUCCUACAGCAGCCGAGGCGCUCCCCUCAUACCUCUGGCUGCACAGGACACACCUCAGCAGCGAUUCCCGUGGCCACAGUGCCCUCACCAUGCAUUCUGGGCCCUGCCAAGGCAGUUACUUUGAUCCUGAAUAGGAGACUCCAUAUCACACGGGAUGUGCAGUUCUUUUUAGGCAGCUGGCAUGAGCUUAGCACAGAUGCCUCCCGGAGCAGGACUGCUUUGCUGCCUCCUGGGAGGUCCAUCAUCAAAACCUCCUGCCCUGACCCACAUUGUGACUCUCUCCAUUUGUGCUUCUGGCUGGAGCUACCAGGUAACCGACGUGGGAGUCUAUGACUGACUGCUUCAUUUGGCUCAGAGUUCCUUCUGGAGGAGCUGGCGUCUCAAAGUUGGUUAGCGGUAAGCGAGCCCUGAGGUGCUAGCUAUUAAGGCCUGAAAGGUGGGCACAACUGGGCUGCGGUCUGUGUGGGUGGUCCCCAGGAAGUCCCCUAGCGUCUCUAGGAUUUCAGUUUCUCUCAGGCUGGAAGCAAUCACAUGGUUUUUAGGGCUCCGUUUCACCCCUUUCUUGUCCUGUCCUUAGUGCUUACCAAAUGUCUAUGUGUACAUCUACAUUUUCGGCUUCCUAUGUAGUCAGACUGAGGCCAAAUGACAGAGUGUCAGCUACUAGCCAGUGGGACACAGGCAGCAUUAAUGUACACCACUUCAAGGCUUGGUCCUUAUAAAACCUCCCAGGAGCCUUGCUUCUCUCUUUUCCUCCACUGCUUGGGAACUACACAUUCUAGGCUUACAUCAGACUUUGUGUGAGGAAGAAAUAGAACUAUUAUUGUAUUAAAGCACUGAGCUUUGUUGGUCUAUCUGUUAGCAUAGCAUAGUGUAGCCUAUCCUGACUAAUACAUUUUCUUUUAUUCUGCCUAUUCACUCAUUCAUCCACUCAUUCAGAUGUCAUUCGUUCACUUGAUAUUAAUUAAGUGCCUACUACAUGGCUGGACACUAGUACUCUAGCAUGAAUAUACCUUGGGUUCUUCCCCUGGAGAAGAGGUGGAUAUCUAGGUGAGGAGAUGGAGAUGGAGAUGGGAGCAGAGACAAUAAUAAUACAGUGAUAAGUGUGUACAGGGUGCAUAACAUUGUGUUAUGUGCAGAGAAAUAAACAUUCAGAGGCCUUUACCUUUAGAAAACUUCAACUAUACUCUUUCUAGUUUCUUUCUUUAUCCUUUUUUCUAGACAGUGCUCACCCCUGCAUACUGUGCCAGUUCUAAAAAAAAAAACAAAACCAAAAACUGCAUUUACCACCACUCUCUCCUUCCUACCAGCCCAUCAUUCCAAAUCCAUCUUCCUGAAGUACCAUUUCUAUAGGUCAUGCCCCCGUCUGAAAAUCAUUCAGGGGGGUCUUUCUUUCAUCGCCCACAUAAGGUCCAAACUCCUUAAUUUGGCAUUGAUCCAGUUCUGAGCUGUCUUUCUAACAUUAUUUUCCUCUUCUCCUUCAACCAGAUGGCAUAAUCCAUGUCCAACGACCCACACCAUUGGUGAUCCCACUCCCAUGUCUUUUCUCACACCACUGUUUCCUCAGAAUUCCCCUCCUUGUCUGCCUAAGUCCCUUUCUCUCUUCAGAGUCCCACCUCGAGUGAUAUCUUUGGUCUUUCUGUCUACCCCAGUCUAUAGUAUUAAUAUAUUCAGCAACUUAGAUGAAACGGACAAUUCCUUGGGAAAAAACUAGCAAGGGACAGAGAAAAGAGAAAUAGUCCUAUAUGUCCUAAAGAAAUUGAAUUCUAAAUCAAAACCUUUCCCACAGAGGAAAUUCCAGGCCCAGAUGGCUUCACCAGUGAAUUCCAUAAAACAUUACAGGAAGAAAUAAUCCGAUUUACAGAAAUUCUUUCAGAAAAUAGAGGAGAACAUUUCCCAAUACAUGGUAUGAAGCUUGUAUAACCUUGAUACCAAAACCUGAUGAAAGACACUUCUAAAACAUCUAUAGCUAACAUCAUAUUUAAUGGUUAAACAUUGGCUGCUUUCUCUAAGAUAGGGAAGAAAUCAAAACAUCUACUUUCACCAGUAUAGUAAGACACAAAGAUAUGAAAGGAAGUAGCAAAUACUGUCAUUUUCAGCAAAAUGAUUGUGUAGGUUUAAAACCCUAUGAAAUCUACAAAAACUGCUAGAGCUAAAGAGUAAAAGUAGAAAAGUCACUGGUCAAUAUAUUAAAAAAAUCAAUUGUAUUUCUCUCUCUCUCUAUAUAUAUACUAGUAAUCAAAACUUGGAGAAUUAAAUAAAAAGGAAUACCAUUUACAAUAUUAUCAAAUAUGUAAGUCUAACAGAAGAUUGUGUGUCCUCUACCCUAAAAACUGCAAAACAUUCCUAAGAGAAAUUAUAGAAGGCCUAGGUGAUCAAAAGCUAUACUAUAUUCAGGGAUUAGAAGGCACAACAUUGUUAAAGAUGUCUAUUCUCCCCAGAUGCAUCUAUCGAUUCAAAUCAAUGGGCAACCAAAAUCCCAGCAUUUUUAAAAGAAAUUGACAGGCUGAUUCUGAGCUGUAUGUGAAAAUGCAUGGGUUCUAGAAUAGCUAAAAUAAUCUUGAAAGAGAAGAACAGAUUGGGAGGAUUUAUGCUACCCGAUUUCAAGACUUAGUAUAAAUCUAUAGAGGUCAAGACAGGGUGGUUUUGGCAAGAGAGCAGACAUACAGAUCAGUGGGGCAGAACAGAGGGUCCGGAAAUAGAGCCGCACACAUACAGCUGACUGAUUUUUCGAAAAAGGCGUUAAAUCAAUUCAAUGGGGGAAAAGAAAGGUUUUUGGUUUUUUGUUUGUUUGUUUUACAGAUGGUUCUGGAACAAAUGAAUAUACGUAUGGGAAAAAAUUAAUUUUGACCCCCUACUUCACUCCAUACACAAGUAAUUACAUAAAGAUCACAGACCUAAACACAAAAGCUAGAACUAUAAAAUCUCUGGAACAAAAUACAUGACAAAAUCUUCAUGAACUUAAAGGAAGCAGAUUUCUCUGACAGGGUUCAAAGGGACUAGCCACACAAGAGAAUACUGAUGAACUGGACUUCGUCAAAAUUUUAAAAAUGUCUGCUCAGCAAAAGAAUGCCAUUUAGAAGUAAAUUGGCAAGGCACAGGCUGGGAAUAAAUAUUUGCAAUCCAUAUAUUUGACACAGAACUUUCAUUCAGAGUAUAGAAAGAGCUACUACACAUCAAUAAUAAAAAAACAAAGAACCCAAUUAAAGAUGAGGAGAAGGCAUACUGACAUUUCAGAAGAGAAGGUAGAUAUAUGAAUGUCUAGUAAGCUCAUGAAAAGACAUUCAACAUUAUAUGUCAGCAGAGAAAUUCAAAUUAAAACCACAAUGAGAUACCAUUUCAUAUCCACUGUAAUGACUACUGACGUACCCAGUGUUAGCGGGGAUACAGAGCAACUAGAGCUCUGGUACAUUGCUGGUGGGAGUGUAAAAUGGUACAACCAUUUUGGAAGAAGCUCUGCCAGUUUCUUAUAAAACUAAACAUACACUUAGCCUGUGACUAAGCAUUUUCCCUCCUAGAUAUUUACCCAAGAGAAAUGAAAAUGUAAAUCUACAAAAGGACUUGUACAAAAGUAUUCCUGGCAGCUUUUACUCAUAAUGGCCCCAAACUGGAUACAGCUCAACUAAGGAGGUAAACUGUGCUGUAUUCUUACAAUGGAUUACUGCUCAGCAGUAAAAAGGAAUGAACUACUGAUACAUAAAACAAUAUGAGUAAAUUUCAAGAAGUAUUAUGCUGAAUGAAAGAGGCCAGCUAUUUUUUAAAAAUCAUACUGUAUGAUUCAAUUUACAUGUAGUGCUUGAACGGGCAAGUCUAAUCUAUGUGACAGAAAUCAUAAUAACGGUUGACAAAGGGGGUGGAAGAUUGGAAAGGGGUACUAAAAUUUGGGGGGUGAUGGAACUGUACUAUAUAUUAUUUUGGGAGGUGGUUGCACAGACGUAUAUAUCACAGCUCAUUGAACUCAACACUUAAAAUGUGUACACAACUUAAUUGUAUGUUAAACUAUAUCUCAAUUUUAAAAUUACUCCUUCCACCACCCCCAGAAAACCCUGUUGGGUGCUACUGUAAUGUACUGUUAUGAUUUUCAUAUGCAGUUAUCCAUUUUAAACUUUCCUAGAUCCCUCGGCAGGACCCGCACGGUACUUGGGACUCCAUAUUUGUCGAAUCAAUGAAUGAGUCAUAAUCAGACAGUGUAAAAGAGAAAUAAAAGGUAAAGGAAAACUAGAAUACGACACCAUACAUAAUUCCACUGUUUCCAUUUUUCCGGGAGUCAACACCAUUGCAAACGCAGGUCCCUAUCUCCCAGCACAUAACAAUAACCCAGUGUCUAAGACAUCUUGCUUUUAUUUACAAUAAAAGAGGCAAGGAAAUAAGAGAAAGCUUUUGUCUCCCACCUCCUUUUGAGGUGACACCACAUAAUUAUUACUCCGUUUCUUAACUCUAGUGCGAGAGACCAAAAGACAUCGGAUGAAUCACCUUUUCAUUCAUAAAACCCUGCUUAUAUCUUUCAUCGCUUUUAUCCUCCUAGAAUAAUAGCAGAGAAACAGCACUUGACGGGCCUACAUUAUCAGACUCUAUUGGAAAGGUCUAGAUAAGAGUGCUGAACCACCUAUUAGUAUUCUGCAUGCAAACCCUUCUCCGUAACCCAGAGUCAUCCGUAUCCUGGCAACCCUCAGAAUUUCAUUCUCAUUGAAUUGCUAGAUCUUUAUCAAAAUAUAAUUAGAGCCUUAAUUCGAAAGAUAAAUUUUGAUUGCCAGUGCCAUGCCGAAAGGAAGGAAUAAUCAGGUGGGAGAGCGCUUAGGCACAAUUGUUAACCAUAUAAUCAAUGUCAUGGAUCACGCAUCCCCUAAAAAACAUAACUUUGGGGGAAGUUGUGAGGGGUAGAGCAAGGAGGGGAAGAAAUCACUGAGGCACCAGACUUACAUUAUGUUUGCUCGUUUUCUCAUAUUGUUGCUUAAGUACUUGUCAUCUCUUCCCAACUGGAAGAGUUUGGGGAAGGCCCAUGCUGUGUGUCCUGCUUCUGUGUGUGCUCACAGUGGCCCAGUCCGUAGCAGGAAGUAACGUGGUCUACAAGCCUCCUAUCUUGGGUCAGGUCUCCUGGAAGCAGACUUUGAGAUAGACAUCGGUGUGUGGGAAGCUUACUAGCAAAUGCUCUUCAGGUCAAGACCUAUGGAGGGAAUUAAGCAGGACUGGGCAGAGAGAGAAGUUGGGCUGUGAUACCGUCACAACAGAGGAUCAGCCAGCCCCAUUGGGGGAGCUCUGGAGCUGGGAUAGCUCUGCAGAAUUGUCCUGAAUUGCAGCGUGACCAGUCAUUGGAUGUGCGCUGACCUGGGAAGGGCUGUGACCUUGGGCAAGGUGGCUCUCUUCAAGGACAAUUCCCAAAGAGGGACUUGGCUGUGAGGCGUCAGCCACCAGUGCCCAGCUCUGACGAAUGAGUGCUUGGGGAGCAAGCGCUUGAGUCCUGAUGAGGAAGGGGGAUACAGGUGGUGCAUCAAAGUAGCCACUGCACCUCCACUGGCUACAGUGACUCAAGGGCCUGGGGAAGAUGAUCCGAAAUGGAACCCUGACAGAUCGAACCCACUAGCCCAUCUGUACAGGAGAGCAGCUCUCCACCCUGUUGCGCAUGCUAAGUCACCUCAGAAUGUGUGACUUGCUGGGAAAGAGGAGGUCUUGUCCCCUGAUCCAACUGGCAUGCUCCCGACUUGAGGGUGGGUACUGAUACUUAAAAAAAAAAAUCAAUAGCUCCGAGACACAGCCUGCAAGGGGCCAGAGAACAGAAGUCACACACUUCAGUUCCCUUUGCUUUGGGGCAGUCACAUCUGCAGCCUCACUGCUUCCAUGGUCGUAAGUGGUUCAUUAGUUUGGGGAUGGAGAAAGCACCAGGCAUAUAUAACUGUCUUUCUCCAUUGGAGUAAAAGUAAUAGAUGUAUUUAACCUACAUUUCCAUGUACAGUCAGCUUCUCCUGAGACCUUUGGGAAUGCUCAAAUCUGUAAAUACAGAAGCUUCAGAGUUCACCACUGUGCUAGGUCGUCUGUUUCCACCCGUCCUGGUAUUCACGCCCUUGGUUAAUUCCCUGCCCUGGAGUCUGGGCUGGUCCUGUGACUUGUGUCAUCCUGUUGGUAAAACAAGUCACAGGCCCAGCCUUGAGAAGGCCUGGAAGCUUCUGCCUUUGCGCUCUUGGGGACCCUAAGCCACUAGGUAAGAAGUCCAGCUUCUGGACUUCUGGCAAGGCCACUUGGACAGGCCCUGAGACUACUACACAGAAAGAGACAGAAGCACAGCCAACCCAGCGUCCCAGCGGAGCCUAGCCCCCAGGCGACAUAGCAACUGACUGGCCACCGGCAAGACUAUCACAAGAACUGCCCAGUGAGCGCCUCCGACACUGCAGGAUCUUGGGCCAGCCGAUCGGCUGCUGUUUCUGAAGCCAUUAAGUUUCGGGGUGGAUUCGUACACAACAACAGAUGGACAAAACAACCCUAACUAGCAAUUACCUCGAGUCAAAGGGCUAUGCUGGCCUCGCCCCACCCCUAUCAAGUCAACUGCCUUUUAAGGUUGAACUGAAGAGUCCUUCCUCAUUUGAUGGCCGCUUUUCACAAGGAAACCAACAUUUUUAUUACAUCAUAAUAGUUACCGCCUACCCAGUGAUGAAUAGACCAAAAAAUUUUGAAGGAGAAAAAAAAUCCUCACUAGGCUGUCGGCGCCGGAGGUCAGGGAUUGGGCUCUCUCCCUAGCUAUGUAGCUUAAUCCUGUGUAUCGUUUUCAUAUGCUGGGGGCUCAAAUUCAUGCCUCAGUAAGUUUACAAAUGGCUCCCUGUCAUGGACCUCCAAGGUCAUUCACUAAGAGAAGAAACUCAGAAUAUUAAAUCCUGAGAUUCAGGGUCAGUGUUGACUGGACACGCUAGAGAGGGCUGGACACGGAGCCCACCAGGUCAGAGAUGGAGCGUAGCAAGAUGAUCCAGGGCUGGCUUCUGGAGCCAGAUCACCUGGGAUCAAAUCCCAGAUCUGUCACUUGUUGGCUGUAAAACCCUGGGCAAGUUACUUAACUUCUCUGUGCCUCAGCACCCUUAUCUAUAAAGUUGGGAUAAUAACAGUCCCUCCCUCGCAGGGUUACUGUGAGGAUUAAGUGAGUUAAUAUAUGUACAGGGCAUAGACCAGUGCCUGGCUCUUCUGAGCCUAACUCUAAGUGGUUCUGCAGUAAAAACAAAAAACAAAAAACAACAAAACAAAACAAAAAAAAGAAACCAAAAAACCCCCAAAAAAACAAAAACUCACAUGGACCUUAAGUAAUACAAAUAGCUGUUUUUAGUGACUAUACAAGAUGAAAGCUAUCUAGGGACUGUAUAUCAGCUUUCUGAAACUAUAUCCCGUAUAACUUUUCAUAAGAGGGCAGAGUGAACAGAGCAUGGCAGAAGGAGCACUGAGCCAAGAGAUGGAGACCUACAUUCUAAUUGCAGCCCUGCCAUAAACUAGCUGUGUCACAUUGGGCAAGUGAUCUAUAACAUGGGGGAUAAUACAAUGACCUUGCCUAAAGAGGCUAGACCAGAUGGUCCCUCUAGGAACCUUUUAUGUCUCAAUACCUUUCCAAAUCCUGAGACAGGAAAGGGCAAGUGGAAUGACGACCGUUUUAAAGAUGGAGACACGUAUUUGGCCACGUGACUUGCCCAGAGCCAAAUCCACUCCCAAAGGAGAGCAAAACAGGGGCAUCUUCCGUGCCACAGAGCUUAUUGCUGCGGCACAGACUACAUUUCCCAGCUUCCCUUGCAGUUUGAUGUGGCCAUGUGAUUGAGUUCUGGCCAGUGGAAUGUGGGUGGUGAUGAGGUGUGCUACUUCCAGUCCUCCUACCGUGCUCUCUCUUUCCCCUUCUGCUGGCUAGAUACAAAGGAACCCAGGAGGGACUCCAAGGCCCUAGGGGAUAGCAGAGCUGCAAGAGGGCAUGAGACCAGGUUCCUUGUCAUCACAAGCCAAAAGUUGAUUAGACUUUAUAUGAUUAAAAAAAGAAAAACUGCAUUGUGUUAACAUCCUGAGAUCUGGGACUUACUUGUUACAGUAUAACCUAAUCCAUACACUCAGUGCGAGUCUCUAGUUAAUGGCUGAUUCAGGUUCUGAGCUUCAAGAGGAAGCAGCCUUUUUCUGUUUAAGUGCAAGAGAUCACUGACAUCUUAUUUGUAGAGGCAGAGCCAAGACAAUGAAGUCUUUAGGAAAUCUGAAUCCCAACUCAUGGCCCUCCCACGGGCCCUUCUCAGGGUGCCAAAGAGUUAGCCACUGUUGCACUGGGCCUUUUGGCUACACUGAAUCAUCAGUAAUCUUGCAUCUUCUGUAGGGAACACAAAGAUGAGGGGCAUUUUAAAGAUAAACCAGCAAAUGUUCUCAAGCCUCUAAGAGAAGACUAAUCAGGAAUGAUGAGAGGAUUUAGCAGAGGUGCUUUCUUUCCCAGUCUCUUCCUUCUCCCAAAUCAAACUCUACCUUAAUAUUGUCCUGAUGAUUAUAUUUCUGACCUACCUACAGAAAAUAAAGGUAAAAUUUUAAAAUCAAAAUUCACUUUGAAAAGGAGGAGAGAAUCACCCAGUAGGUUCCGUCUUGAAUAGCGAACUGAUGGUGGUAAUUUACACCUUCCCUCUUAAAUUCCCAUACUCUUUAGUUUAUUUCUUUCAUGGUUAAAAAGUUAGUUAGGCAUUUACAUUUUUUCAGCCAUUACCAAUGCAUUUUUGCAACAACAAAAAAUUCCUAUCAUUCAACCAGAUCAAGAACAGAUGGGGCCUGUUUUCUUCAAGCUGGACUUUGCCAUCUUUGCUGCCAAAGAAAAGGCGAACAUGGGGGAAAUUAAGGCUUUUGAAAAUAAAUAACGGGAGAGCCCUGGCAGGCUCAAGGGAUCCAGAACCCGCAGGAAGAGAUCUGAGCUUCCCACCAUCCACUAGGAUCACUGAAGUCCUCAGUCCCUUCCUGUCUCCCUUCCAUGUGGUACCUUCCCCAUCAGCUGGGGCUGGUCCCCUUCAGACAGACUGGGUACCUCUCAAUUUCCAAGAAGAGAUCCCUCACUCAACUGUCCAGGGAUUUCCAUCUGGAAAAGAAAGAGGGGCACCCCAGCUACUAUCUGCACCCAGGAAGCUGGCAUGAUUUAAGCACCACCUGGACCCUUUGGUCUCUCUGUAUUCUGGGCCAAACUCCACUGCGGGGAGUGGCCUGCUGGCCCCUAGGCACAGAGGAGGAAGCCCCACAUGUGGCUUUCCAGGGAUUUCCAUCUGGAAAAGAAAGAGGGGCACCCCAGCUACUAUCUGCACCCAGGAAGCUGGCAUGAUUUAAGCACCACCUGGACCCUUUGGUCUCUCUGUAUUCUGGGCCAAACUCCACUGCGGGGAGUGGCCUGCUGGCCCCUAGGCACAGAGGAGGAAGCCCCACAUGUGGCUUUCCAGGGAUUUCCAUCUGGAAAAGAAAGAGGGGCACCCCAGCUACUAUCUGCACCCAGGAAGCUGGCAUGAUUUAAGCACCACCUGGACCCUUUGGUCUCUCUGUAUUCUGGGCCAAACUCCACUGCGGGGAGUGGCCUCCUGGCCCCUAGGCACAGAGGAGGAAGCCUCACAUAUGGCUAGGCAGAACUCAGAGGGAAUGUAAAGCUGCAGAGACCCAUGGCUGGGGGCUGGGGAGGGGUCUCUGUCUGGACUCCCAUCCCCCGAUCUUGCAGCCCAGUUGCUUAGGACCUCACAUAGGGAUGGAUGGGCUGCUGCUCUCUCACACAGAUCAGCUUCCUAGCAUCCCCACCCUGUCCUGAGACUGGUGGCUGAACUGCUCUGAAGGAUGUGUGCACCUGGUCACAGGCUGUCUGGGGGCCCAGUGUGGCUCACCCUUACAUCCUUGUAAUAGUGGGGUCAAGCUAAGCUGCAUCUCCAGCCGCAGGGUAUUUUUAGACGCUGUUAUCUUUGUCUUGCUCACAAGCAGCUGUGAAAAACAAAGUGGUGACCAGGAGGCACGAAACUAUAAAAUAAAAACCUCAUAAAGCAAGAGCUCCCAAACUCAAGAGCAGAGCACACUAUGGCUAAAACGCUGCGCACCAUCAUGGCGGGCCUGCUUAAUCUUCCCCUGAGGGGGCACCAGGUGGGGCUUUGCUCUUUUACUGUCCACCCAUUCCGGGCCUGGCAGGCCCUGGGCAGGUCCAGCUUUGGCCCACCGGCCGGCAGGGCUAGUCAGCCAGCAGCCCUACUCACGCCCACAGACGGUGACCCAGGUGGACAGGUGUGCCAAGGGAGCAGGCUUGACGGGGUUAACACUGCCACAGAAGGAAAAGCUCCAGCUCUCUCGCCUCUCUUUUCCAGCUCAUCCUUAACAGUCCAUUUGCCUUACAGCAUCACAGCCAGCUCCAUGACAGUGAAACCCCUGCACAGGCAGAAUGUCACCCAACACCAAGUGGCAGGGCAGGAAAACAGGAUGGGGCACCAAGAGGUAUCCCCCAACUUCUCCCGAGCCCUCAGAGCCCUUGGAAGGCCGAGCCUCAGGGUGCCCUCCCACUUAACAGUGCCUUCGAGUCCCUUCGCCACCAGACCAGGCAACCCCUGCAGCCCCCUCUACCCAGCUAGUAAAGGCCCUGGCAGCGGCGUGUAAGGGUGCCGCCCCUCCCCCAAACCCGGGCUGGGGGGUGGGGAGGAGGCGGCAAACUUCAAAACUGCAGCUGCGAUAUGCUUCAAAAAAAAAAAAGAAAGAAACAAAGACCCCUGAAAGCCACAGAAGCUCCCCUCCUCCCUUGGAGCUAUGUGCGGUCCACCUUGACCGCCCGCUCAUCCUCACUCUUCUCUGCCAAGGGAACCCGGCUCUCAGACCUCGGCCGGGGUUAUUUCCUCAGGCUAGCGCGCGGCGGGGCUGUGGCUCUUGCUUCCUCCGUUCCCUAAGUUCACCCACCACCCAGAGGUGUGAAAAAUUAGUUAAAAAUGAUGUCACCUACCCAUACCCCCUCCCCCCCACGCUGGUCCCAUCUCAAACACACCCGCGUGGCCUGGGCUGUGAGUCGCAGAGCAUCCCGGGGGGUUGCGGUGGGGCGCCGCGCCGAGGCUAGCCUCCCCGGGUGCCCGCUCAGGCUCAGGCUCGGGCUCGGCCCUGGGAAGCCUGCCGGCGCAUCGUUCCCCCGCUGCAGAAAUCCUACCGCCCGUGCGCCCUGGGCGCGCCGCCGGGCCCCGCGCCGGCUCCCCAGGAAUGCGGCCGUCAGGUGAGGUAGGCAUGCGUGCCGGCUCCGCAGCGAAGCAGCAGCUGGCUGGGGCGCGGGGCUCGCGAUCUGCGUCUUCUCCCUCUCCCCGCAAAGGAGAGGCCUCUCGGGGGCUUUUCAGCGCCUCGUUGCGUUAGGACCGCAUUCCCCCUUCCUUUUCCUUUUUAUAUUAGUUUCUGCUUCAGAUGCAAAAAGGGAGAUCGCAGGAGUCCAUGCCCAGCUCCAGCCAAACUCGGUCCACAGGCUGAGAGAGAAUUAUGAAUGGAUGCUGCCUUCUGAUGAGGAAGUCGACUGGGGAGGUCUCUGCGCACGGCGCACUCCAUCAAAGCCCGGGCAUUGGCCCCUCCACUGCUUCAAUGCUGCAGGCAGAGACACCUAAUUGACCACUGGGAAAUCAGGUGCCUGGAGACCUGGGCGGGACGUAGCCCCAGGGCCACGCUGGGAUCGAGCGCCUUGCCUGUGUAGACAGCUUCGAUUUACAGCCCAGUGAAUGGAGGGGACUGCGGCAGCCAAACCUCCCGGGCAGCAGGCACGGCUGCACCAACGCUCUGCAGACAGCCGCCCAGCUCUGUGAGCAUCUCCUGGCUCCACUGGGCUAAAGGGAACCUGCUAAAAAUAAUCCGUCCCCUGCUGCCAGCCGCAGUGAGCUGCAGGACUCAGACCCCAGCCCCAAACUCGGUGGCGCGCGGGAGCCGGCCACAACGCGGGCCCUGUGCACUGAGACAAGCGGGGGGCUGCGGAGGAUCCCGGAUCCGGAUUUCUGGUACCUGUGCGUUUCCUUCUCCGGUAGCGCGACCGCUGGUGCUGCGCGUUACCCAUGCCCAGAGUGGCGGCGGGCUCGGCACAUCACCAUCAGGCUGGACCGACCGCGGCUGCUCAACACCGCACCCCCGUGGCUCCCUUCUCACCUCCCGGCUCCCUGGUCUCUGGCCAACAGCAGAGGAAUCAGAGACGCCGAUCGUGCCAACUCCUCCAGCCGGGGCAAGAGGGAGGACAGAGACUGGCGUGGAGCAUGUGCCCACGCGCGUAACAGGAUUAGAGCGGCCCGAAUAUUGUAACAUUGCGUCCCCUCCCCCUAGUCAUCUCCGAAACCUCGCAGCCUAGACACAAGUCACCCUGCCCAGGCUUAAAAACACUGCAAAGACAGUGCCUUCCCAGCGACGUGCUAAUCUCCAGGGAAGGGUAAUUCAACCAGCUCUGAGGAUGAACCAGGGUUAAAAGCCAUGGCAGUGUGUGCCCAUGCCUUAGGCUGGCAGGUUCUCUAUGUAACAACCACAUGCAGAAGACAGAAAGCCAUUUAGGGCCACGUAAAACACAACACUUAUGGGAUAUAUCCUAAUAUAUAACAAGGGAAAAACCAGUGAAUGAAAUUAUCCAAAAUGUGCCUUGUGGGAGGCAGUUUUCGGUAAUUUGUCUUGAUGCCUUGGAAACCCAUUUAGGGAAAACUUGACUAUUUUUUGACCAGGAUACCUAUCUUCAAAUAGGGAGACUUAUGCCCUGGGCAGAUUUGCAUGCCAGAGCAGUACUGCGUCCACGAGGCCCCUGACUCUUCCAUAAUUCACAAAUUGUGGUGAAACACUCGACUUGCCAAGGUCACAAGAAAUCACAGGGUUUGCGCAAGCACUGGUAGAGAGUACUUCCUAAUUGGCAUUACUACGAAUUAUGACUGUGGUCACAUAAAGUACCACAUGCAACCCAAGUUAGUCUGGGUUGGCUGCUCUCCUCUGACCCCACUCACACCAACCUCCUCAGACGGCUGCCAGCCUCCAGCAGAGACUAGAGAAGGUGGCUGGAGUCCCCCCUGGAAGACAGAGCGCGGCUAGGUCAGGAAGGAUGAAGUGGGAGGAGGUGGCACUGUCACUCCCCCAGUGAGGCUGAGAAGAGUCAUGAACCCCAAAGUUUAAGGGGUGGGUAGGCAAGGGAAAAGAGCCCACCAGAGACACAGAGAGAGAGAGAGAGAGAGAGGAGUCAGAGACAGACCAGGAGGGAGGGAGGGCCCCCUCUUAGAAACCGAGGGACCAAAGGGUUUCACGAAGGCGGCAUGAUCAAGAAUGCCAGACGUCACUGAGGGGGCAGUGGGGGCAGUACCCACCGCUCCUUCGUCUCCAGGAGGCCUAGUGGAGUGGCCACGGGGGUGUGUGGGGUGGGCGGGGAGGCCAGUCAGAGCUGCUGAAAAGAAAAGGGAAGGCUUUCCCUUAGACUUGCUCAUCAAAGGACCAGCAGCACCCGGGAGCCCGUUAAAGGUACAGAGAGCUCCGGGACAGACUCCACUGGGGCACGGGGAGCCCCGCCAUGUGUGGACUCAAACCGCUCAGGCCCUGAAAUGAGAGCUCAUGUUCAGACAAGCAAAAUGGCCCCCCUCUACAGCGAUCCCUGCAAGAUCGUGGGGAGCUGGUGGCCAAAUUACUAAUCACACAUCCCAAGGAGAUGAACCGCGUUGCUCCGGGUUUUCAGGGCUGCUCUAUCAAGGGAGAGCCUUGGCAGUGAGGCCUGCAGAACUCUAUUAAGUGAUGAAAAUGGCCAUCCGUGUCUUGCCCUUCGCAGUGAUCUUUACAAUUAUGAGGUGGUUGUUAACAGUGGUGAUGAAAAUAAUGAUAUAACUAGAUUACUUACAUCUGGAUAAGGUUUUAGCAAGUCCCGUGGUAUAGAGAAAAAAAAAAAGAGAGAGAAAAAAAACCCAAAACAACCCUGGACUUUGGUCCCAGAAAGACCUGUGUUUGAAUCCUAGCUCCUCCACUCUCAGCAGUAUGGCCUUUGGAAAAUCAUUUGACUUCCCUGAACCUUGGUCUCCUCACUUGUAAAAUGCAAAGAGGAAUGCCUAAUUUACAGGGUUGUUAGAAAGAGGAAAUAAAAUGAUAGAUACAAAGCUCCAUGAUGGUGCCUGACACAUAAUAAAAGCCCAGUGAAGGUAGUUCCUUCCUUGAGACCUUCCCGCACAUGCUCAUAUUGGAGUUUUUCUGAGUUCCCUACCCCCUUCAUGGUGGUUAGGGUCCCUGUUGCUUCCUAUGGUUUGAGGGUCCAAAAAGAAGUACGUAUUGAACGUCUCUUAGAUGCCAGCUACUGUGCUGGGUUCUGGCGGGGAAAGAGCAGACUCUGGGCCCUUCUGGAGCUGGCAUUCAAAGGGCGGAGUUUACGUCCCAGCCCAUGUGGGUGUCCUGCUUGUUUUUUCUGUCAGCCAAGGGUACCAGGUCUCAGGAGGAAAAGAACUGCAAAUGUGUCCUCCCUUUAGGACAGUGAUGGUCUAGAGCAGGGAUCAGCAAACUCCUUCUGUAAAGGGCCAGGUAAUAAAUAUUUCAGGCUCUGAAAGCCACGUGGUCUCUGCUGCCAUGACUCCACCCUGCUGUUAUAGCUCAAAAGGCAUAAAUGAAUGGAUGUGGCUGUGUUCCAAUAAAAUUUUAUGCACAGAACAGACGGGGGGUGGGGCGGGUGGGGGGGAUUUGGCCUGAGGGCCCUAGUUUGCCAGCCUCUGAUCCUUCAGUGUGACUUAGGACAGGACUAUUCCCUUUCACUGGUAUUACCAGGAAGUGUAUAAGUCUACAUAGGUGAUUUUCCAUACAAUUCAAGUUUAUCCAACCAAGAGCAGUUUACUGAAGCUCCCUGUUGUGUUAGAGCAUAUUUUAUACUUUCCCCGGAAAAGACUGGCUAGUUUGUUGUUCAGCAAACUGUCUCCGCCUUUCUCCUCCAGCCAGCCUCCCUCGCAGACAGGCGCAGCCAUGUAACUGUGUGCUAGCCAGGGGGAUGUGGGAAAGGGCUGUGUGCCUCCAGGUCUGGCCCAGAAGAGCUCCUGCCCGUUCCUACACACACUCCCUUCUCUCCCCCGCAGGAGGUACACAGAGGCUCUACAGGGUGGAGAAACCCCAAGAUGGAAGGCGCCUGGGUACCAAAUGACUGCAUGCCGACCUGCAUUAGACUGCAGUGUGAGAACGAAGCCACUGACAUGAGAACAAGGAGGGUGGAGAUGACCUGGGAGGUUUUCGCUAGGUCUCUCACGCUGGAAGCCUAUUGUUCCAUGAAACCUGGAACCAGCACCACCUUCUGAAAUGAUUCCUCAUCGUCAGUUCUUAUUUCUUCUUGCCAUUUCUGCUGAUCAUCCAGAACUGACCACCCUACGCGUAAAUUUCAGCAUCUGCAAGGGCAAUAAUAUGUUCUGGCAUCUGCCCAGCCUGGGUAACCUUUUUGCCCCAGGCUGACCUUGUUGGUGACCUUGGGGAUCCCAAUUCCAGCUCCACUCUCCAGGAUACACACCCUCUCCGUGUGUUUCCCUAAGGUGGCUUCCCCGCUUUACUCUCUUUGGCUCCGAUGCUAGAAACCCAGUUUGGCCGCCAAAGUUUAUUUCCCUGGAGCAAGCUGGAUGCCCCUGCAUAGCUAUGGCUGUGGCGGAGCCUUACUCCUGAUCUCUCCUAUUAGCAGCGUCGCUACUGCUGCCCCCGCCCACUGCUCCCAGGAGACCCCGCGACUUUCACAAGAAAUCACUGCUACAAAGUGGCUCACUCGUUCGUAAGGAACUGUGUGUUUAUUCAUAUAUAUUUUAUAUCAUAACAAAUGUAAAUUAAUUUCAGGGGCCCAACUACCCAAGCUAGUAUCUAUAUGGCUGCCUGUACAACAUUUCUCUCUCAAAAUUCUCAAAACCAUCUGGCGUCAACUACUGUAUUGUGACCUGUUAAAAUAAGUAACAGCUGUGAUAAUCCCUCUCGAUUUAUGGCAAGCUAUAAAGCUUUGCAUAUACUGGCAGUGCAUAUAAGAUAAUAAAUAAAACCAUUAUCAUUCUGUGCUGUCUUGAUGGGAAUUAUGAUGAUUUAGCCAAAAUGGAGCCCCAUGGAAUGCAUCAGAGAAGCACGGGUUUUGCCCAAUCUGGCCUGCUUUAAGCCCCCAAAGACCAACCUCACUAUUUAGAGCUCCUAGAUGUUUGCAAACUUUAUCCAAUGUAGAUGCAUCCUUUCUGAGAGAACAUCAUUCCCAUCAUCAUUUCAAAGCCUUCUUUCCUGAUGGUGAGUUUCCAGAAUUCCUCAGCAUAGCCAGACCAUCAAGAAAACCAACCUAUGUACAAUUCAAAAAUGUGAAAUAAUUUGUAGCACCAAAAGUAAGAAUUGGCUUGGAACUGUUAGCUGUAAGCUUAUGUUUACAAAUACUGCCAAGAUCCCAGGUUGAAAAAUACUAUAGCAUGGUCAGCUCUCUAACAUAGACAGUAUGUGGAAAAAGAAAAGCUGGUAGCUGGCAGAGAAAGCAACUGGGCAGCUUUGAUUCUAAGUAGAAGUUACUACGUCCACUGCACAUGAAUUUCAAAAACUUAAGGGGAUGGGGAAGGAAACUAGCAUGAAAUGGCGCUUUACUGUGUACUGUGUACUGUGUACGCCAUAAUCUCGUUUAAUCCUCACAACAGCCCUAUGCCUUAGGUAUUACCAGGCCUGUUUCAUGGUUGAGGAAGUUGAUGCUUAGAGAGCUUAAGUAACUUGGCCGAGGCCAUCCGGCUAAAAGUUGGGGAGAUGGAGUUUGAACUUGGAUCUGUCGGAUUCCAAGAUUCAUGCUCUUUCCACCUCACCACACUGCCUUCUGGAUAGCUGUUCACAAUCCUUGAACACUACGACCCACAUGGUAGAUAGUAUUUACAUGGAUGACUCGUUGUCAUGGCCACGGGCAAUUCCUACCCCUUCGGUCCCACUUACAAAGUCUAUCUGAAUGCAGGUGAGAGUUACCUUAUUAGUGGAAGAACGCUGAACGCAUAUAUAUGGAAUCCAAACCCAUUUUCAUUUAUAUAUUUUAAAAAUUGCAAAUAAGGGUGCUUGGUUAUUGUAUCGAUUUCAAAAAAGAGCUACAGUACUUUUCAGCUCUUGGUGGAAUCUAUUUCUCCACCCUGAAUCUGAGCAGGCCUGGUGACUUAAUUUGGCCAACAAAAUGUAGCGGAAGUGACAUUGAACCUGUUCGGAGCCUAGGCCUCAAGAUGCGUUCCAACUUCUACUUCUGCUGAUCUUGGUGCCUCCCCAGGCUUACUGCCACGCUGUGAAGAAGGCUGGGCUAGGCUGUUCUCUUGGCUCAUGAGACACACGGGGCCCACUUUCCCCCUCAUUCUGACCCAUAGCCUGCUAACCACCAGACAUGUGAAUGAGGCCACCCUAGGGCAUCUAGUGCCAACUGAGUGACUACAGACACACAAGCAAGCCCUGCAGGGCUCAACCAGAAGGACCAGCCAUUCAAUUUUAAGCCACUAAAUACUGGGGUGUUUUGUUACCCAGAAAAGACCAACUGAGGAAGUUCAUUAAAUUUUUAACCACUUGUCAAAACAGAUGCUAAGCGUUGAGAAUUGUUCAUUUAAGUGCAGAUAUCAAUAAACUAAAACCUCCUUUAAAAAAACGAAUUUCUUUUUGGUGGGUCCAAAUAUUGCCAUAGCUCAAAGUCUUCACAUCAUCUCAUUUAUUUAUCACAGCACUCUCAUCCCGUGAAAGUGCCAAUUCAGCGACGCUUCCUAUGAAUAGCCUUCGGUCCCAGAAACCCACCUUCCCCUCCUCAGUCCUGGGCUGGCCAGGCUGAUGUUGGGUCGCGUGGUCUGGGGAAAAGACUCGCCAAGGGGAGUGGCCCAGAGCCACCCUCAAGAGUCGAUCAGUGGAUAGAAGAAAGUGAAGGAGAGAGGAUGUGUUCAACCCCAGAACCCCCUCGGGGAAAAAGAGGAGUAACGCCCUGGAACAAGAAGAACUAAAGUGUAUUAGGGUGUGGGGGCAGUUUUGUAAUAGUCAACAACAGCGGUCAUGGCCGUCUUCUUAAGAAGAGAGGGUAUCCAAAGACACAGGUGGGCAGGGGGAAAGAGAUGCGUACCCUUCUCCUUCCCACACACCUGGGAAACUUACAGAUGGAGACCCUCAAAAGGAAGAAAAGACUAAUUACAAACUAAAUUAGGGCCACACUCGACAAUCUAAGAAAGGAAGAAAUAACGGUUACAACUCAAUACCUCAAACAGUAGUCCUCAACCUUGGCUGUACGUUGCAAUUUCAACAUAGUGAACUCAAUUCCUGCACUCUUAAUUGCUACAUUAAUUACUAACUUUAUUCAAUAGGAAAAACAUUCAGCAUGUGGAGUUCCUAGCAGUUUCAUCAAAAGCCACUUCUUUUGAAGAAAAUGCUGGAAAGUAACACGUGAGUUGAUUAUUCAGCUAUCUUCACACGUGGGUGCUUGGGCUUUUUUCUUUUCUAAUUUUCUUAGUAAACCUGGGAACCUUUGCACUUUGAAUAAUUUCUCUUUUCUUUCUCUCGGUGUCCUCUAGUUAUACAAACACAAAACAUAAUUACAGAGGCAGUAUUGACAUCUAUAUACCUAUGGUUUUUUCAUUUGGUAUUUACAGUGCUGAGUGAAUGAAUUAAUUUAGUUUAUUUUACUUCUUGGGAAAAAGUGUAUGUGAUGAAAGGGGGCCCCCGUUAGUUGACUCCGGCAAGGUUUUAUAAGGAGCGUAUAAAGGAAAAGGAGAAAGAAAGAAACCUUCUUUGUAGCUCUGUGAAAAUAUGUUGGUCUGCGCCCUCAAUGAUUUUUCUACAUUUGUGGUUCAACACGUACUAAUUAUGUUCCCGAAAAGGGGAUGUUUUACUGAGAAGCUUUAUGAAUUCAAAAAACAAACAACCCUCCCUAUACCAGUGUUUGCAGCUUUUCCCAUUUCAGGCUCUGACCCUGCUUCGCAACAGCUUUGCCCAGUUUGAGAACAUGGAUUCAGGCUCUGGGCUGGGACCUCCGUGAGUUGCCUUCCAGGUGGAAUCAGAACUGAAACAUCCGGAUCAGAGGAAACAGAAAAAGAGUUAUUACGUGCCCAAUUGGGAGGGAAGGUUUCUUCAUUGAAGGAUGGGGUCAAGUUGAACAACAGAAAGAGAAGUGACCGGGUGCACCCCCUAUGAUGUACCAGAAGCUACACUAGAGAAGCCAGCUGGAGUGUGACACAGAGGACAACUGAGGCAUAGUUUGGCCUGUUCUUGCAGGGUGUUUCAUUUCUACGAAGAGUAACUGAUUUCUGAAGAAGGAAGGGUACCAGUGGGAAGUUUCUGAAGAAUAAUUUCAUAAUAAAUGGAUCAUGUGUUGAAAGUUGCUUUGCACAGAGGAGCUCCUUUACUCAAAUAUUUAUUAAGAAACUUAAGAUUUUUUUAAUUGAGUUUUUUUUUAAAGGAGAGAUAAUAGAUGCUUCAAGUGUUCACUUGUCUGAACCUGAGAGAAACAAGAGUUUUAGGAUUAUACAGAUGCAAAUGUCAGUAGGAUGCGUAAGAAUGAAUGUUUCUGGCUUCCUGGGCUGUACAUUACACACCCAAGGUAGCCCAAUGACGAUGCUGGUAGAACCCGAGAGACCCGAAGGAAGGACCAAUCUGAGGUCAUCCCUGACCACUCCAGUGAUUCUGGAUGUCACUUUGUGACUCGGGCUUUAGGCCUCCUUCCCCUUCCCUCAGGCUGUGGGCAGUAAAGCCCCAUAAACAGAGGCUUGAAUACAGUCAGUCUCCAGCCUCAGAGUGUUCCAGAGUUCAUCUGUAAGUUCUUCUUUUUAAUUCAAGACAAAUUUUCCCAUGGAAAAGAAGUGACCAAUAGCAUUUAGAGUUCCAAGUCUGCCCAUCAAGGCUUCUUUCUUCCACAGUAUUGCUGGGGAAAUAUGCAUUUGCCGUGAACAGGAGUUGAAAACGAUACCGGUAUCGUGGUAGUGAAUAAAUGUUAACAUAGCUCCAGAAGACGGUUUUAAAAAUUAAUCUUAAAUGCCAGUGCCCAACGAAAUGCAAGAAUAACUAGACAGAAUAGUGGGCUGACGGAGACCUUGGGGUCUACAACUGGAGUGUCUUAUCUCUUUGAGGAUUAAUAACACUGGUUCUUUAUUAUGCCCAAGAUCACUAGAUAGAUUCGCUCAUUCAAGGAAAAUUUUUUGAGUAUCCAAAAUCUUAUAAAUAUUAUAGCAGAGAUGAAAGACCUAGAUGCUGCUCUGAAGAAGCUCAUAGAACAGCCGACUAGAAAGACACUGCUAUACACGCUUUUCAGAGAGACUUACACAUACUCCCGAGAUACAGUGUGUUGUGUCUGAGGGUUCAGGAAGCCACAGGAUAAACGUGGGGAAUCUUCCUGGACCACUAGUUCUACUCAAUAAUUGUUUGGGGGGAGACUGUUUUAUAUUAAACAAUGUAGAGAAUAGUGCAGAUUUUAUAGAUGCAUACAAUUACAAAGAAAUCUUAAAGAUCUCUGGAAGGCUGCUUUGGGCCAUACCUGAGUCUCCCCGUCUCCAGCUCCACCUUAGGGGUACUAGUUCAUCCUCUGCCUGCCCUUGGAAGCACCACUAAAACAUAGGCAUGUAUAGCAUAUGGGCUACGGAAGGGGAGAUGUCAAAAUCCCCCUGGGCAAUUCCAGGAAGGGCUUCCCAAGGAAGGUGAUGCUUAAGCCAAGGCUUCCAAACGGACUAGGAUGAAACUGGUCACGAAAACAUUCUAGGGAGGGGACAGUGUAUACCGGCCUGGGGGGGUGUGAGACAGCGUGAUGUGAUGAGAAAAUGCAAACAAUUUUGCACGGCUGAAACUCCCGGCUGGUGUAGGGAACUUCAGAGACACAUGCAUUUUCAUCUCAAAGUACUAGAAAGGAUGAUGAGUCCAGGAGUUCUCUGUUCUAACCAACAGGUAGUGCUGUCAGCACAGAGCAGCUGGGUAGUUAUCCAGAGCAAGUGGCCUUGGGAACUCUGGGAAAGCAGAUGAUGGUAUGAAGAUGGCCAAGUGUAGAAGGGAGACAUUUAAAAUCAGAGUUUUGCAACUCCAGGAAGAGCUGUAAUCACACCUGCUACUUGUUACUUUGCUCAAAAACUCUGAAUGAGAUAAAGUAUAAUCCCUGCAAACACCUUCACCGGGACGCUGAAGUUAGGACAUCAGAGGACAGGCUAUCCCCUUUCUCACCACUGAGAAACAACAUCUGAACUGCCAACACUUGCAAGCAGCGGUGUGGGAAAUCCUGCAUUGUAACUCCUUGACCUGCCACCACCUCUAGCACUUGUUAAUCCGUCACCUUUUAUGAUUCCAGAAGACAUUUACAGCCCUCUCCUAGGAAAUGAAUAUUUGGACAAUAUGUCACUGAUAAACAAUGCUGGGUAAUAAAUAUAUCAGUUACAGGCCGUCAAGUUAACUAGCUUAGGAACUGAAAGAGAAAGUCAAAGGCCUUACCUACUCCACUCUUGUUUUCUGAAGACACGGGACACUACUGGUUCUGUCCCGUGUCUGACACCUCAGCUCACAGUCUCAUAUUUCGAUCGGGGCCAUCUCUGCUGAUCGGCUUUUGCUCCUUCAAAUAAAAACUAAGUUUCCUUCACUUUGGAUGACCUAAGCAGAGACUGUAGCGUAAGCCAUAGCACAUCUUUUAACUCUUAACCUGUAUGAUAACCUCAAAAUAUCACUCCCACAUUUAGUUCGGAGUCAUUAUUUUCAAAUCCUUACAGGCAGAGUAUAACCUGGUGGUAAAAAGCCUGGGCUUUGGAACCAGACAGACUUGCGUCCAAGUCCUGGCUCUGUAUCGUCUGAGCUGUAAUCGUGGGCAAGUUAUGUAAAUACCCUAAGCCUCAUUUUCCUCAUCUAGGGAACGAGCAUAGCUGUGCCUGCCUCACAGGGUUGCAAUGAGGAGCGAGUGUGACCGAGCAACUUGCAUAGCCCUGCUGAGCACACAAUAAGGGGUCAUUAAAGGACUUUUAAUAUUAACGUCCUGGAUUUCCCCAACCUCUGGGCCCCAAAUCUCCUCAGCCCCCAAUGACAAUGGACAGACGCCUCUCAAAAACAUUAUAUUAAUCAUUUAUGAUGCAAAGUACGUAGCCUUCUAUUGUAACUGCUAAACUUUAGAGGAAAUAAGUUUCAUUGCUUCUUUCCAGAAAUACCUUUCCUCUGUGACCCAAGUGAAACCACAGGAGGAUAAACAGAUUAGAAGAAAAAACAUAUUGAGUGAAUAUUUUUUGAAGUUGCUGAAAUGAGUUGUUGAAAACAAAGACCCAAGAGAAAUGCUAGCAUAAGCCAUUGGUUUUAUAUUUAUACCUCCACGCAAAUAUCCACCCACUACUGAAAUUAUAAACCAGCGUAUAAGGUGUUAUAUUGAGAACUGGAGCAGCGUUAAAAACAUCUGUUGAUACUUGGUUGAAUCUGCUUUCCUUUUGCCAGAGGUGAACUAAUAUUGACCAAAGUCUGCCAAGAUAUAAAGAUGAGAGUCAAGUCUCAGAAAAAGGGGUAAAAUUAGAGGGAAAAGGACCUCUAAUAGCCUCCCUUCCCUAGGAAGGACCCUGCAAGGUUUACUCACGACACCACCUCCCGAUGACGAUGAGGACGACGACAGCACACAGUUAUCCAGCCCUUAUCACGUGCCAAGCACUGUGCCCUGUGCUUUAUUUUCAUUACAUCGUUCAGUCUUCACAACAAGCCUGUGAGAUUUUGCCAAAGGAACCUCAGCUUAGAGAGCUAUGACCCUGGAAUGCUUCUACUGGCCAACAAAUUCCUACCAAUCCAUCAAAGUAAAGCUCACCUCCUUCAGGGAGCCUCCUUCCCUUUCCCUCUUCACCUCCUCCAUCCCUCGUUCACUUUCUCUUCAAUCAUUCUGAAGCUUGGUUGGUUUGUUUGUUUGUUUUUUAAUAGACAUGCUUGGACUCGUAGUCAUACACCAGUUUGGUUUGAAUGCUCUUUCACUGAGUGCUGGUUGUGUCUUUGGAUGUAACUACAAUACCUUAAAGGUAGGGUGAGUCCUCAGUUUUGCCCCCAAUAUAGGGCAGGAUGUAGGGAGAUUCUGUACCUACAGAGUCCGAUCCAGGCCUAGAUAUCUAUGAAACUGCAAUGAGUUGGAUUUUCGCCUUUGACCAAGUUUCAAAUUUCAUAGUUAUUUUCGGCUUGAUACCCUGGACCAAGGGGAGAGAAAUGUCACCGUGGUACAGAGAGUUCCAGCCACAAGAAUGCUGUGGAACAGGAUAGGAAGUCG